UCCCUGGUGGCUGAGUCAGUAAAGAAUCCACCUGCAAUGUGGGAGACCUGGGUUCAAUCCCUGGGUUGGGAA
This is a transfer RNA of Ovis aries (sheep), 72 nucleotides long. It matches the Rfam family "tRNA". Rfam says of the family: Transfer RNA (tRNA) molecules are approximately 80 nucleotides in length. The record is from Rfam. Lineage: Eukaryota; Metazoa; Chordata; Mammalia; Artiodactyla; Bovidae.